Molecule: ribosomal RNA, 1244 nt
Filed under: metagenome
Description: bacterial LSU rRNA
Rfam family: Bacterial large subunit ribosomal RNA
Source: RNAcentral
UGAAUACGAGACGCUAAGGCGUCGAAGUAGUGUAUGUCAUACUUCCAAGAAAAGCUUGCACUGUCAUAGAUAAAAAACGCCUGUACCAUAACCGACACAGGUGGGUAGGUAGAGUAUACUAAGGGGCGCGAGAUAACUCUCUCUAAGGAACUCGGCAAAAUAACUCCGUAACUUCGGGAGAAGGAGUGCCUUAUUCGUAAGGUUGCAAUAACAAGAUCCAAGCAACUGUUUAUCAAAAACACAGGUCUCCGCUAAGUCGUAAGACGAUGUAUGGGGGCUGACGCCUGCCCAGUGCCAGAAGGUUAAAGAAGUUGGUUAGCAAUUGCGAAGCUGAUAACUGAAGCCCUGGUGAACGGCGGCCGUAACUAUAACGGUCCUAAGGUAGCGAAAUUCCUUGUCGGGUAAGUUCCGACCCGCGCGAAAGGCGUAAUGAUUUGGAUACUGUCUCGGAGAGGGGCUCGGUGAAAUAGACUUGUCUGUGAAGAUGCGGACUACCUGCACCAGGACAGAAAGACCCUAUGAAGCUUUACUGUAACUUGAAAUUGAAAUUGGACUUUAUUCGCGCAGUAUAGGUGGGAGGCGUUGAUUAUAAUCUUGUGGGAUUAUUGGAGCCAUCAGUGAGAUACCACUCUUGUAAUGUUAGAUUUCUAACUUUGAAUCAUUAUCUGGUCAAAGAACAGUUUCAGGCGGGCAGUUUGACUGGGGCGGUCGCCUCCUAAACGGUAACGGAGGCGUACAAAGGUUUCCUCUGAACGGUUAGAAAUCGUAUCUAGAGUGUAAAGGCAUAAGGAAGCUUGACUGUGAGACCUACAAGUCGAGCAGGGACGAAAGUCGGUCUUAGUGAUCUGACGGUACUGAGUGGAAAGGCCGUCACUCAACGGAUAAAAGUUACUCUAGGAUAACAGGCUGAUCUCCCCCAAGAGUUCACAUCGACGGGGAGGUUUGGCACCUCGAUGUCGGCUCAUCGCAUCCUGGGGCGGUAGUACGUCCCAAGGGUUGGGCUGUUCGCCCAUGAAAGCGGUACGCGAGCUGGGUUCAGAACGUCGUGAGACAGUUCGGUCCAUAUCCGGUGUAGGCGUUAGAAUAUUGAGAGGAGCCUUCUUUAGUACGAGAGGACCGAGAAGGACAUACCUCUGGUGUACCAGUUAUCGUGCCAACGGUAAACGCUGGGUAGCUAUGUAUGGAGUGGAUAACCGCUGAAAGCAUCUAAGUGGGAAGCCCACCUCAAGAUAAGUAUUCUCAUC